This is a long non-coding RNA of Xenopus tropicalis (tropical clawed frog), 4497 nucleotides long. RefSeq lists it as uncharacterized. The record is from RefSeq and is a predicted model, not a curated record. Lineage: Eukaryota; Metazoa; Chordata; Amphibia; Anura; Pipidae. The transcript is spliced from 3 exons.
UAAAUAUUCAUUCAGAGAGUCAGCCCACCCCUUUAGGAAGUGGCUUCUCUGAGAGCUCCAGCGAUGCUUCUGGAGCACAUUUUAAUCUCAAUUAGUGCCUUGGGGAAAGAACAGCUUUAUUUUUCUAUCUUCUGUGGUUAUAUCAUGGUGUAGCAGACAAGUAAAUAACGUAAUCUCUCUUCAGAGAAUAAAGGACUCCUUAAGGUGUGUCAGAACCCGGGAGUUGAAGCUAAGGAGCCGGAAGGCGGAAGUGUUUGGGGCCGGGACUUUGAUGGAGCGCGGGAGAGGAAUUCGAUCGCCGGCAGCGCUUCACCCGUUACCAUAGCAACUGUCGGGCAGCCGCGGCCGGGGCAUGGAGGCAUGAAGCGUGUGCUUACAUAAGCCGGGAAUCGGCUGGCAGCUGUGUGAGGCAGUACUGCUGAGACCUGCGCAAUGAAUAGGAAGAAAAGGGGACAAGGGCUUUGAGAGCCCCCGACAUUACAAAUUAUAUGUUUCCUUCUUUAUGGCCCUCUUAUUGUGCCUAUCAGUAUGUGCUGUCAUGUAUUACUUGUUUAUUUGUGUGAUACGUUCCAUACAUACCUGGGGGGGGGCAUCUGAGUCUCACCCUCUCCUUAUAAAUCUCCCUCUAGCAGUGACCUGUGCCUCCCCCUGUGUCUGUACCUGUGCCCCCCGUGUGUCUGUACCUGUGCUGCCCAAGAUCAUGCAUGGAAAAAAAAAAUACUGUCAAAUACCGUGACACCGAUAUAAUUUUGAAAAAUACUGUGAUAUAAAUUUUUGGUCAUACCGCCCAGCUCUAGUCCAGAUCAUGCUGCAAACAUAGGAAAACACUCCAAAAGCAAAAAACCAGGGGGAGAGGAAGGCAAAACAUAAAAACUUACAGAAUCCCAGGGGUUGUUUAAGCAGUUCUUCAGCCCUGCAGAUGGCAAAGCUGCACUUCAUCCAUCCAAGAUGAUGCGGCAUCCUGCAUGGAACCCUACAGAUGAAUCAGACACAGAGACUGCAGCUCUAAAAAGUCACUUCUGACUAAAGCAGACAACAGAGGCAGAUGGAAUAAUCUGCACAUACACUGCCUACCUGAGCUCCCUGAAACAGUAAUGAAACUUUUUCAACAAAUCUUGGAGCAGCUUACCCCCUAUAAAAUUAAUAUUGAAAGGGCACACAGAGCUCUUAAACCAAAAGGUCUCCCUAUGGAUAGACCUAAAGUUAUAAAAUGUUUUUAGGCUUGCAAUAAAAGAAGAAAUACUUGCCAAAGCUAGGAAAUUGAGAAUGAUAAAAUCUGAUGAUGCAGACAUUAUUGCAGGACCUUUUUUGGUAUGCUCUGCAACAGAGACAGAUGAUUAGACUACAACAAUUAAAGGAAAAAAACCCUUAUGUUCCACUGGACGUAUCCAUUUGGCAUUCAAGUGUUUACAGAUGGCAAAGUUCAUUCGCUAACUAACCCAGAGGACUUAAUUUCUGGCAGGUUUGUGGACUAUAUGAACCAGAAGUCGACAAAUGGAGAAAAUUUAUUUUAACACCCAGAACCAAAUGGUACCAAAUGGUAUUUCCUUUAUGUGAGCAAGUUUUGCUCUGUACACAUUUCAUAUAGCUUUUGUAAAUGGAAGAAAGUACUUUUCAACCCCAAUUAUCAGUGGAAAAAGUGGAUUGAACAUUUCAUAAUUUGCAUCAGAAGUGCAAUGAAUGUAGUAAACACAGGUUCAUUCACUAACUAACCCAGAGGACUUUAUUUCUGCCAGGUUUGUGGACUAGAUGAACAGUUGACAAAGUGGAGAAAGUUGACAAAUGGAGAAAAUUUAUUUAAACACCCAAGGUCCCAGAUCUUCCAAAAAAAAAAACCUCUUGGACAUUGGUCUUAACACCUAAAAGUCAAAGGAUAAAGCAAAAACAAACACCGGAGAAAGUCACCAAGUUGGAGACUUGAGGGGCUGAAAAUUUAUUUGGAUGUUAUGUCUCAUUGAUAAGAAUUUGAUAAGAACUUGAUUUGUCCAGUGGUAAAUCUAAUAUUCCCCAUUCUGUCCUAAAUAAGAUUAAGAAAGUUCUUCAUAAAUGUCAGCUGGUAGUUAAUACUUUUUUCAUAUGCAAAGAAUGUAAACUCUAGACUAGACUAUAUUCUAAUUUUACAAUAUCCCUUAGAGAUGGUCAGAUUAGCUAAAAACAACAAUAUUAUUUGGUCUGAUCGUGCUAUGACACAAAUCCAAUUAGCUAUUGCUGAAAGACCAAUUACACCCUGGAAAUGGAGGUUAAAGAAUACACUACUAGAUGAUCAGGACUGCAUUAAAGAUCCGGAUACUGUAUAUAACAGAAAGGAAAAACAAAAUAUUGGAAAAAGCCAUAUUUAGGAAUACACCAUAAAUAGAAACAGAGUCAAUUCUCAAGCAAUUAACAGAAGCACGUCUAGAACUCCACAAGCAUACAAACUCCCAAAUUAAAUAUACACUCUCUAGAUUGAAGCAACAAUAUUUUGAGCAUGGUAACAAGUCAAGGAGAAUGCUCACAAGAACAUUAAUGGCCAUACAAACACAAACUUUUGUCCACCAAAUAGGGGAUACACAAGGUGAAUUACAAAUAACCUCACAAAAAAUAGCAGAAGUUUUUAAAUUAUACAAUCUGCAUGAAGCUGAAAACCAUAACAAAAACAUAGAGAAAUAUAUAACUAAUACCCUACCUAUUAUAUCAAAGUCAACGGCUAAGCAACUGGAAUAACCAUUUAUAGGAGAAGAAAUAAACCAAGCCAUUAAAUCUUUGAAAUUAAAUAAAGCACCAGGCCCAGAUGGAUGUACAGCCAAAUUUUAUAAAAUAUGUAAACCUAAUAUUAAAUCUCUGCUUCUUCCCCAGUUUAAUUCUUUCUCUAAAGAAUCCCCUCCUAACUAGGAAUUCUUACAUGCUCAUAUCUAAAUUAUCUACAAAACUUGGAAGGACCAUCCGGUCUGUAAUAAUUACAGACUGAUUUUCCUGUUAAAUUUAGACAUUAAGCUGUAUGCAAACUUCUGGCCAUUAAAAUGGAUCACAUAGACCAGGAAACCCAAUACCAUAAAAAUGUGUAUUUUGCUAAAAUGUAUUUACUGAUUCUCAACUCUUCCCCAGUAAAACAUUAUUCAGAACUAAAUGUUACAAUAGGCUCAUACAUUUGGGAUUGGAAAAAAGCAUUAGAGUUGAGACCUUAUAUAGAGAGGAUUCUUGGGUAGAAGGUCAGUUGGGUGCUUUGAUAUGAAAUAAAAAAGAAAAUACCCCAAUACAGCAAAAUCGCACAUAUUAAUAAUAAACUGCCCCAUGUCCAUCUCUGCUUACUCCCAUAUGAAAAAACAGGGAAUUCCUACCUGGUAUGUUGGACCCGGGAUAUGCCUGUGCCUUUGGUGUACCUAAUUUAGUCCUGACAGAUUUUCUUUCCUCUGAUACAUACCCAAUACCAACGAGGUUUCUUGGGUACACUAUAACUUGCUAAAUCAAAAUGUAAGGAAGUUAACUCCAUUUGAAAAUAUAUGUCCCAUGCAAAUAUAACUGAGACAUACUCUUACAUUACUGUACAAAAUACUUAGAGAGAAUAAAUAUCCAGAUCUCCCUUCAAAUGUUAAGGCAUGGAAAAAUCAGCUUAAUACCAACAUUUCGGAGAUGAGUUUUGGCAACAUUUAUAUAAAAUUUGCACAGAGAUUACUGGCUGCCAGGUUAACUAUUAAUGCUCUUUUAUAAACUGAAACUUAUUGACUCCACUAAGUUGGAGCUAUUGCUUCGAUUAUUAUUGCCCGCUAAAGCAUUAAUCCCAGUACACUGGCGCAAAGAAAACCCUCAAACUAUAGCCAGAUGGUACCGAUUGGCAAAUGAGAUCUAUAAUAUGGAAGACAUCUUGACAUCAAUACACAAUAAAUACAGUAUAUUGAUUAUAAAGCCACCUGGUUAUUCUGGAGGGUAUUUAUAGGGAGGAAAUCUGAGCCAACCAAAAGCCCCCUUAACUAGCUUGACCCCCCCUCACCUCUCCCUUAUCGCAUAAUUUCUAACUUUAAAAACUGUCCCUAUCGCUAACCCCAACCUAAAAGAGCAGUGUAGCACAGCUGCGUACCUGGCCGACAUCUUCCCUGCAAGCGAACAGUCUUUGGGUCUCUCCACCGAUACGGACCCUGUUUGCGCAUGCACAUUUGGAGGUAGCAGGAAAUCUGCUUAAACUGCGCAUGCAGUGUGCAAGCAGUCCGUUCUAAAUUAGGAAGCCUAUUUUCUAUGUCAGUCUAUGUUUACAUAGUAUAACAAUAGGUAAUGGCUUCAUUUUUGGGUAUAUACACUUACCUUUAAUAUACUUACCUGUUUUUUUACCCAUUAUUCACUUUAAUUCUUUUCUUCUUUCGUGAAGCUGAUUUUCACCCUCUCUGUAAAGUAAACAUGAUGAAUGUUGUCUAUAAUUUUGCUCUGUAUAAAUGGAUAUAUGUAGUGCUUUGCAUGUUUCAAAGCCUGUAAAAAUGUUUGUUUAAACCUUGGAUAUAAAAAAAAUAAAACUAUUAUAUCCCCAAA